AGGCCAGUAGCUCUAAUGGCAGAGCGGCAGACUCCAAAUCUGCGGGUUGGGGGUUCGAGUCCCUCCUGGCCUGCCA
This 76-nucleotide transfer RNA is filed under the name Candidatus Babeliales bacterium. RNAcentral describes it as "tRNA-Trp". It matches the Rfam family "tRNA". From Rfam's summary of the family: Transfer RNA (tRNA) molecules are approximately 80 nucleotides in length. Their secondary structure includes four short double-helical elements and three loops (D, anti-codon, and T loops). Further hydrogen bonds mediate the characteristic L-shaped molecular structure. tRNAs have two regions of fundamental functional importance: the anti-codon, which is responsible for specific mRNA codon recognition, and the 3' end, to which the tRNAs corresponding amino acid is attached (by aminoacyl-tRNA synthetases). tRNAs cope with the degeneracy of the genetic code in two manners: having more than one tRNA (with a specific anti-codon) for a particular amino acid; and 'wobble' base-pairing, i.e. permitting non-standard base-pairing at the 3rd anti-codon position. Lineage: Bacteria; Candidatus Babeliae; Candidatus Babeliales. The record is from RNAcentral.